UGCGGAUUAGUGUAAUGGUAACAUAUCUGGCUCAUGACCAGAUGAUUUAGGUUCAAGUCCUUUGUCCGCAA
This 71-nucleotide transfer RNA is filed under the name Jatropha curcas. It matches the Rfam family "tRNA". Rfam says of the family: Transfer RNA (tRNA) molecules are approximately 80 nucleotides in length. Lineage: Eukaryota; Viridiplantae; Streptophyta; Magnoliopsida; Malpighiales; Euphorbiaceae. The record is from Rfam by way of RNAcentral.